AGGACGAACGCUGGCGGCGUGCCUAAUACAUGCAAGUCGAACGGUCUUUCUAUGGAAGCUUGCUUCCACUGAGAAGAUAGUGGCGAACGGGUGAGUAACACGUGGGUAACCUGCCCAUAAGAGGGGGGAUAACAUCCGGAAACGGGUGCUAAUACCGCAUAGUUUUCUUGAUCGCAUGAUCGGGAAAGGAAAGACGGCCUUUGUGCUGUCGCUUAUGGAUGGACCCGCGGCGUAUUAGUUAGUUGGUGAGGUAACGGCUCACCAAGACGAUGAUACGUAGCCGACCUGAGAGGGUGAUCGGCCACAUUGGGACUGAGACACGGCCCAAACUCCUACGGGAGGCAGCAGUAGGGAAUCUUCCGCAAUGGACGAAAGUCUGACGGAGCAACGCCGCGUGAGUGAAGAAAAGGGUUUUCGGAUCGUAAAACUCUGUUGUCAGAGAAGAGCAAGUUGGAGAGUAACUGCUCCAGCCUUGACGGUAUCUGACCAGAAAGCCACGGCUAACUACGUGCCAGCCGCCGC
This 522-nucleotide ribosomal RNA is filed under the name uncultured bacterium. RNAcentral's name for it is "bacterial SSU rRNA". It matches the Rfam family "Bacterial small subunit ribosomal RNA", at positions 26 to 518 of the family's 1533-position model. The record is from RNAcentral.